RNAcentral lists this ribosomal RNA (253 nucleotides) under uncultured bacterium. RNAcentral's name for it is "partial 16S ribosomal RNA". It matches the Rfam family "Bacterial small subunit ribosomal RNA", at positions 524 to 776 of the family's 1533-position model. The record is from RNAcentral.
UACGUAGGGAGCAAGCGUUGUCCGGAAUCAUUGGGCGUAAAGCGCGCGUAGGUGGCCUCAUAAGUCCGCUGUGAAAGUCAAAGGCUCGACCUUUGAAAGCCGGUGGAUACUGUGAGGCUAGAGUACGGAAGAGGCGAGUGGAAUUCCUGGUGUAGCGGUGGAAUGCGCAGAUAUCAGGAGGAACACCAAUAGCGAAGGCAGCUCGCUGGGACGUUACUGACACUGAGGCGCGAAAGCGUGGGGAGCGAACAGG